Long non-coding RNA from Brassica rapa (field mustard), 3222 nucleotides. RefSeq lists it as uncharacterized. The record is from RefSeq and is a predicted model, not a curated record. Lineage: Eukaryota; Viridiplantae; Streptophyta; Magnoliopsida; Brassicales; Brassicaceae.
UCUACUAUUCCAGAAAAAAAGCUAAAUCCGAUGCUGUGAGCUGCCUCAUAGGUGAUAUUUGCAUAUUUGUUUUAAAAAACUGAGCUUGAAAAUAACCCCAGAUGAAAACUAUUUAGGUACACUACACUACUUGCAUCUAGUUAGGACCUGCAGAAAACCUGCUGUAUUAUAGUAAGAAAAGAGGCGUGAGCUUUUAGCUUUUAGGAUUUCUUCACUGCCCCAAAGUCAUGUCGCUCACACUCUUUUCCAGUCACUUGUACGUAAUAUUAACAUGUAGUAAUCAAUCGGAGUCAAAACAGUCUUUAGAUAAAUAAUGACCAAAUAGACUCACGGUUGGUUGAUGUUGAUUAUAGAAGCAGUCCCUACUAUAAAGUAGAUGUGAAGGAAAAAAAUUGAACCUUUCACUUCUUUUUUGUUCAAAUCUUAUCAUGUCGUUCAAAUAAUUGAGAAAUCUCAUUUUGGAGAAUAAGAAAAAUCGAGAAACCUAUAAGCUAUAUCACUCUCUCUAUGGUUUAUUACUUUAUUAAUUAUAAAAUUUUAUGCAAUUUCUUGGAGCUGGAGCCUGGAGGCAUUAUGAAACAUGAUAUUACUGUUUGAUAUCGUAUACAUCAAAGAGGGUUUCUGAGUACGAUUCAACAAACGAAUCCCAAACUCAUUUCAAACUUCGAUACUUGACUUUCAAUGUAAUCUUAUUGAAUCUUUUUGUGAAUAUAUAAUAUUUUGAAAGGAAACAAGGUACAUGCCAAAGAUGAGAGUGUAGUCUUAUUCUUGAUGUGGAGGUUUGAUUAGGAUAGGAACAUGUACAGUAGAAACUCUAUAAAUUAAUAUUCGUUAAAUUAAUAAACACGAUAAAAUUAGUAAAAAAAAUUGGUACUGAAUUCUAUCGGUUUAAAAUAUGACAUAAAUCGAUAAAGUAAUAUGAUAAUAUAUUUUAAAAAACCAUUAAUAAAUAUAUGAUCCCAAAAAAUCAGAAAUUAAUAAUUUACAUAUAGACACAAUGGAACCAAUAAAACAUUAUAUUAUUUAUUUCACUAGGGGUUGGCCCGCCCUACGGGCGGAUGAUGUUACAUUAAAAUUAUGUUAUGCUAAAAAUGUAUUUUAAUUUUAUAAAACAUUAAAAAUUAAUUUUCUAAUUAGAUCAUAUAUAAUUCUAAGCAUAUAUAAUUUUCUAAGCAUGACCACAAACCAAAAAAGCACAAAAACGAAAGCAAAAUUUUAAAAUUUUAUUUUGAGUUUUUCUAAACUAAAAUAUAACAAUAGUAGAACUAUAAUUAUAUGUAGAACUGGACAGAAAACCUGGAUCCGGAAAACCGAACCGAACCCGAUCCGAAAAAGUAAUAUCGAACCCGAACCAAAAUUAACUAAAUAUCCGAACGGAUUCAAAAUUUUGAUAUUUAAAGAAACUAAAACCGAACCCGACCCGGUUUAAAGUAUUUUGGGUACCCGAAUGUACCUCGAAUAGAUUUAAAUACAUCCAAAAUAUAUAAAAUACUUUUAAGUUUUCCUAAAUACUUGAAAAUAUACACAAAUAAUCAAAAUUAAAUGUCAAAAAUAGCUAAAAUAUAUUCAAAACACUACAAAUACUUGAAAGACUAUCCAAAUAUUCAAAUCAAACCAAUUUAUAUGUUAAUUUUAUGUACUUUGACAUAUGUUAUUCAAAUUUAUAUGUAACUAGGGUCGGCCCGCCCUACGGGCGGGAUAUACUUUAUUUGUGAUCUACAUUAUUAUUUUGUAUGAUUUUGUGGUUUGUGUUUUAGGUUUGCAUUUGCAAUAGAUGUGUAUGAUAAUAAUUUUUGUAUGAUAAUGAUUUUUGUCUUUUAAAAAAAUUAUAAUAUUCUAUAAUUGUAUUAAAGAUCCAAUGCAUCGAUAGUUUGGUACAUUACAACAAAUAAUAGUAUUGAAAAGAAAAAACCUCAAAAAAUAAUAUGGGUUAAGACAUAUUUGUAUGGAUUGAAGGGAUUCCAUUUAAUUAUAUCAGAUCAGAAAAGAGUUUACAGUCAUAAAAUCUAAAGACACAUACACAUAGAAGUUCUAUAUCACACAAUGCAUAGACAUACAAAAACAAAUGAAAGCUCUCAAAAAACUCUAUAUCAUUGUUUUUAUUCAUUGUUUUUCCUCAUUAGAAAGCAAUACAUUUUGUUGCUCACAACCCUAACCCAUCUUCCUUGGAACCAUCUCCAUCUUCUCAGCGUGAUAGAUCAACUCCAAGAAGUGGCCAAGAAGAUCAUGAGGUGAGAGAUGAGAAACAUAAUGGAGAUGCUAUCAAGAAGACACCUAGAUGCCACACAACAUGCUCCAAUCAUUCCUCCACAAUUCCUAGGCGAAGGUUAUUGUAAGACAAUUGGUGAAAUUUAUAGCCACCUAAAAUCUGCUUUCUCUUCAGUGGCUGGUGAACAACUUAAAAAUUCAGAGUUAGUAUAAUCAAAAUUAUAUGCUAUAAUCAUACAUUAUUGUCUUAAGGUAUUAUACUUGCGUCUUGACUUUAGAAGCGAAGGAAAUCAACCAAAUGAAUUCUACAGAGUAUUAAUUUAUUAGUAGUUUACUGAAACUUCAUCUUGAACCAAAAAUAUUAAAACAUAAAACCACAUAAUACGCUGAUAAAAAAAAACCACAUAAUGCAAAAGUUGUUCCAAACCACUCUGAUGUUCAACUUGUUGUGUUGCAUAAAAGUAGAUCACAUGUUAAGUAGGUCCAUAGUUCUUAGCUUCUCGGACUUAUAUGUACCCAAUCUUCCAAGCCUGAAAUGUAACCGUGAUUUAGAACCCAUAAGUUUCAGAAAAAAAUGAUAAUAAUUAGAAAGUUCAUCUAAGCAUUUAGCCACAAUUAACCAAAAAACUUCAGCCAAGAAUCAAGUUUCAGCUAGUUAAGUAAUUUUCUAUCUUUCAAUCUCUCUUAUAUCUACUUGGGUUAUAUGCUCUGCAUAGAUCCUGGUAUAGAAAUGUUAAGCUCUAGUCUCAUUGGAGAGUCUGUAUAUCUGCGACAUGCACGUAUAUGUACGACUGUGGAAUGAUUUCAGCGUGAGUUCAAUCUAAGUUCAGCGUUUGAGUAGCAUCUGCAGAUUUGGUCAUGGAUGCCCACCGAGAGGAGAUAGAUGCUUCCAUGAAUGUUAUUUUCACAUGAAAAAAAGAAAAGAAAAAACAACAACAGAACUAUACAAUCAGAUUCAAACCAGAACUAUAUAUAAAACACUGAUUGGUUUUGUUAAUUUAGAAAAUAGAUAAU